CAAUAGCGUAUAUUAAAGUUGUUGCGGUUAAAAAGCUCGUAGUUGGAUUUCUGCCGAGGACGUCCGGUCCGCCCUCUGGGUGAGUACAUGGCACGGCCUGGGCAUCUUCUUGGGGAACGUAUCUGCACUUGACUGUGUGGUGCGGUAUCCAGGACUUUUACUUUGAGGAAAUUAGAGUGUUUCAAGCAGGCACACGCCUUGAAUACAUUAGCAUGGAAUAAUAAGAUAGGACCUCGGUUCUAUUUUGUUGGUUUCUAGAGCUGAGGUAAUGAUUAAUAGGGAUAGUUGGGGGCAUUCGUAUUUAACUGCCAGAGGUGAAAUUCUUGGAUUUGUUAAAGACGGACUACUGCGAAAGCAUUUGCCAAGGAUGUUUUCAUUGA
RNAcentral lists this ribosomal RNA (380 nucleotides) under uncultured eukaryote. Its description in RNAcentral is "partial 18S ribosomal RNA". It matches the Rfam family "Eukaryotic small subunit ribosomal RNA", at positions 592 to 976 of the family's 1831-position model. The record is from RNAcentral.